Molecule: long non-coding RNA, 3292 nt
Filed under: Homo sapiens (human)
Lineage: Eukaryota; Metazoa; Chordata; Mammalia; Primates; Hominidae
Description: HSALNT0018068
Source: RNAcentral
CUGGGGUUUCAGUGGGAUGGCAAAAAGGUAACCACCUUUUUCACCCCUAACUCCCUGUUUAUCACUGAACCAAACCCAGUUGAUUAGCAAGUUUAGGAGCAAGUUUAUCUCCUUGUAGGAAGCCUCUCUGAGCCAAUAUGGCAAUUUCAUGAGGGUCAACAUAAUAUGUACAAAACAGGAUUCUUGUGAAAAUUCAAGGAAAUAACCAAUGCACAGCAUUUUUAAAACUCUGGUGUGCUCUACGAGGUGAGAGGCUGUUAUUAUGAUUCCCUCUCUCUUCCUGUCAUCACCCCACCCACCAUCCAGGCUGCUUGGCCCCACACGUCCUCCGGCCUUGGCCACUGCUACCAUCGCCCCUGCACUUCACUCCUGGGAGGACACUGGGCUUCUGUAUGUUUCUCUUGUGCCCAAUGCCAGGCCAACCCUGAAUGAGUGAGACAGGCACAAGGUGUGUCUACUCGGGGAGACAAGGCAGCAGAACCUCAGGGGUAGUAACGCUCCACAGAGAGACCCGUGAUCAGUGACAGACAGGAGACAGCAAACAGCCUUCAGACAUUCCUUUUCUCUCCUCUCCCACUCCGAGGUGUGAUGGGUCCAUGUGGCCCCAUCUGUAAGGCUGCAGGGUGUAUUUUCUCCCAUCCCCCCCAUCCAAGUACUAACCAGGUCAAACCCUGCUUAGCUUCCGAGAUCAGAUGAGAUCAGGCAUGUUCAGGGUGGUAUUGCUGUGGACAGGGUGUAUUUUCUUGUGAAGCUGUUCCCAGCUUGGUAAUACCCCUGCCUUCCCUGCCUCAGCUCUCCUUUUCCUUCCCUCUUGCAGCCUUGGUAUUGCCCCUCCCGGUUAAGCCUUAACACACAAACUUUGCCUCAAGGACUUUUUUUCCUAGAGAGUCUAGGUUAAGACAAUCACUUUGACCCAAAUUCCCAUUUCCUACCCACUCUGUGGAAAGCUCUGUCAUCUUCAUGAGCAUGAAGUCUUUGGACUCAAAGCACAGGACCCCGUCCCUUGGUGAGGCCUGCAGCCACAGAGAGGACUGAUGGAUGACAUUUGCAAGAAUGCCAUUCUGUGCAAAGCUACCAGACGGUUUGGCUAAAGAUGGAGGCAGGAGAAGAAAAAUUUCUCAGGUGAAGUUCUCUGGGUAAAAUGGUUUUCUCAGGCCCAGGUGUUGUGAGCAGGCACCCCAAAAUCUGGCCAUAAACUGGCCCCAAAACUGGCCAUAAAUAGAAUCUCUGCAGCACUAUGACAUGUUCCUGAUGGCCAUAAUGCCCACGCUGGAAGAUUGUGGGUUUAAGGGAAUGAGGGCAAGGAAUACCUGGCCUGCUCAGGGCGGAAAACCGCUUAAAGGCAUUCUUAAGCCACAAACAAUAGCAUGAGUGAUCUGUGUCUUAAGGACAUACUCCUGCUGCAGUUAAUUAGCCCAACUUAUUCCUUUAAUUUGGCCCAACCCUUCAUUUCCCAUAAGGGAUAUUUUUAGUUAAUUUAAUGUCUAUAGAAACAGUGCUAAUUACUGGCUUGCUGUUAAUAAAUACGUGGGUAAAUCUCUGUUUGGGGCUCUCAGCUCUGAAGGCUGUGAGACCCCUGAUUUCCCACUUCACACCUCUAUAUUUCUGUGUGUGUGUGUCUUUAAUUCCUCUAGUGCUGCUGGGUUAGGGUCUCCCCAACUGAGCUGGUCUCAGCAAGUGGCGUCCAUUCGUGGGAGCUUGAAUCCAGGUCGAAGGGUCACCGGAGCAAUGGUUGGAAUGGAAAACUAGCUGGAGGACACCCGAGUACUCUAAAAGCAAUCCCCAUGAUGCCAAGGAAGAGAUUCGGGAGGAUCCUGAGGACCCCCCGGUUGCAGCCAUGUUGAGACUGAUGCUGAGGAGGACCCCAACUGUCACGAGCAACACCCGUCGACCACAGCCACCCACCUGGGGACAGAUCAAGAAGCUGUCACAGAUGGCGGAGGAAAGCGGAACAACCAGUCACAAUGAAUAAUUUAAUGGUAGCUAUGAUAGUGGUUAUCACCACUGCCGUGAGUAUUCCUACAAUAAGGGCUGGUAAUAACGCCUGGAUGCAAUCACUCUAUGACACAGUUACAUAUGCUUUCUGAUCUCAGUAUUUACCAUAAUAAAUCUGCUCCUAUAAUUGAGGCAUACCACCCUUAAAAACCUAUUUGUAAACAGGAUUGGACCCAGUUAGAAAAAAUGAACACAAUUGUUUAGGAAGAUUGCCUUGCAGAACAGGCAGAGAUGCUGCACAACGAUUCCUAUGGAAUCAUUAUUAAUUGGUCCCCUAAGGGGAUGUUUAGCUUGAAUUGCACCUCUCAGUCUGCGUGCCACAGUCACACUAUGUUUAGAUGAUCUGAACAAAACAGUCAGAUGGUAGAAAUGUUAAGAAGUACGGCAAAAGUUCCUAUUAUGUGGAACCAUGGCGGUAUAGUGGCACCUCAACCUCAAAUGAUAUGGCCUGCUCUAGGAGCUAAACAUAAGGAUUUGCGGAAACUAUUAAAUGCUCUUAAUAAGAUCAAAAUUUGGGAAAGAAUAAAAAAGCAUCUAGAAGGACACUCUACAAAAUUGUUUUUGGAUAUAGCAAAAUUAAAAGAACAAAUAUUUAAAGCAUCCCAGGCACACCUGACCUUAAUGCCAGGAACUGAAGUGCUUAAAGGAGCUGCAGACAAAUUAGCAGCUAGUAACCCAUUAAAAUGGAUAAAAACACUUGGAAGCUCUGUGAUUUCAAUGAUGACUGUGCUUUUAAUCUAUGUUGUUUGUCUUUGUAUAGUCUGCAGAUAUGGAUCCUGACUCCUGCAAGAAAUAGCUCACCGUGACAAAGCUGCCCUUGCUUUUAUCGAUUUGCAAAUCAAAGAAGGGGGACAUGUUGGGAGCAGGCCCCCCCCCCCAAAAUCUGGCCAUAAUCUCUGCAGCACUAUGACAUGUUCAUGACGGCCAUAAUGCCCACACUGGAAGAUUGUGGGUUUAUGGGAAUGAGGGCAAGGAACACCUGGCCCACCCAGGGCGGAAAACUGCUUAAAGGCAUUCUUAAGCCACAAACAAUAGCAUGAACGAUCUGUGCCUUAAGGACAUACUCCUGCUGCAGUUAACUAGCCCAACCUAUUCCUUUAAUUCAGCCCAUCCCUUCUUUUCCCAUAAGGGAUACUUCUAGUUAAUUUAAUAUCUAUAGAAACAAUGCUAAUGACUGGCUUGCUGUUAAUAAAUACGUGGGUAAAUCUCUGUUUGGGGCUCUCAGCUCUGAAGGCUGUGAGACCCCUGAUUUCCCACUUCACACCUCUAUAUUUCUGUGUGUGUCUUUAAUUCCUCU